Vicugna pacos (alpaca) is the source of this 652-nucleotide non-coding RNA. Lineage: Eukaryota; Metazoa; Chordata; Mammalia; Artiodactyla; Camelidae. The record is from RefSeq and is a predicted model, not a curated record.
GGGGCAGGGAGUGCAGGAGUGUAGAGGUGGAGGGAGGUGCUCAGGCUCGUGGCCAGAAUCAGAAGGCUGGUGCACAUCCUCGCAGUCAGCCUGACCCCUGGAGGCGGGUGUGGUGCGUUUCGGGUGGCGGCGGCGGGAGGGGGCUGCCCAGGCAAGCCGGUUGUUUCCUUCUCUUCCCAGCAGCCUGGCCUGGAGGCGGCCUUGGCCGCAGGAGAUUCCCCGGAAGUCGGACUCCAGGUGAGCUUGCUCCUGGGAGGCGGGGCGGUUCGGUCAGGGGCGGCCGCAGCGGCGGAGGCAGCGGCGGAGGAGGGGAGUAGCACUGCUCCUGGCGAGCUGGUGGGUUAGCUCCCUUCUCCCCGGGGGCCGGGCCUGGGAGCGGCCUCUGCUACCCCAGGUCGCCUGACACACCUGUCCCACUCAGCUUGCUGAGGAGGGGAGCAGGGCUGUGCAAUUAGGGUGCGGGGGCAACGUGGGUAGGGGGCCCGCCGCCCGGGAGCCGGCAGUUUGCUCCGCUCCUCCCCGCGGCGUGGCCUGGGGGCGACAUCUGCUGCCCAAGAAGCCGGACGCCCGUCUCCAGAGUCCUUGAGAGGCCCCUGUCAUCACUGUCAGUAUCAUCAUCAUCAUCAUCAUCAUGGAACGGAUUCCUCUGGAA